This 253-nucleotide ribosomal RNA is filed under the name uncultured bacterium. RNAcentral's name for it is "partial 16S ribosomal RNA". It matches the Rfam family "Bacterial small subunit ribosomal RNA", at positions 524 to 776 of the family's 1533-position model. The record is from RNAcentral.
UACGAAGGGGGCUAGCGUUGCUCGGAAUUACUGGGCGUAAAGGGCGCGUAGGCGGACAGUUUAGUCAGAGGUGAAAGCCCAGGGCUCAACCUUGGAAUUGCCUUUGAUACUGGCUGUCUUGAGUUCGGGAGAGGUGAGUGGAAUGCCGAGUGUAGAGGUGAAAUUCGUAGAUAUUGGGAAGAACACCGGUGGCGAAGGCGGCUCACUGGCUCGUAACUGACGCUCAUGCACGACAGCGUGGGGAUCAAACAGG